CUUGCUUCUCUUGAGAGCGGCGGACGGGUGAGUAAUGCCUAGGAAUCUGCCUGGUAGUGGGGGAUAACGCUCGGAAACGGACGCUAAUACCGCAUACGUCCUACGGGAGAAAGCAGGGGACCUUCGGGCCUUGCGCUAUCAGAUGAGCCUAGGUCGGAUUAGCUAGUUGGUGAGGUAAUGGCUCACCAAGGCGACGAUCCGUAACUGGUCUGAGAGGAUGAUCAGUCACACUGGAACUGAGACACGGUCCAGACUCCUACGGGAGGCAGCAGUGGGGAAUAUUGGACAAUGGGCGAAAGCCUGAUCCAGCCAUGCCGCGUGUGUGAAGAAGGUCUUCGGAUUGUAAAGCACUUUAAGUUGGGAGGAAGGGCAGUUACCUAAUACGUAUCUGUUUUGACGUUACCGACAGAAUAAGCACCGGCUAACUCUGUGCCAGCAGCCGCGGUAAUACAGAGGGUGCAAGCGUUAAUCGGAAUUAC
This 479-nucleotide ribosomal RNA is filed under the name Pseudomonas sp. RNAcentral's name for it is "bacterial SSU rRNA". It matches the Rfam family "Bacterial small subunit ribosomal RNA", at positions 79 to 554 of the family's 1533-position model. The record is from RNAcentral. Lineage: Bacteria; Pseudomonadati; Pseudomonadota; Gammaproteobacteria; Pseudomonadales; Pseudomonadaceae.